AAGGGCAUGGCCGAGUAGCCAAGUUUGGAAGGGAUAAACGCUGAAGGCAUCUAAGCGUGAAGCCCCCCUCAAGAUGAGAUAUCCCAUACGCAAGUAGUAAGACCCCUUGAAGACUACGAGGUUGAUAGGUCGGGAGUGGAAGUGCGGUAACGUACGUAGCUGACCGAUACUAAUAGGUCGAGGGCUUAACCUG
This 193-nucleotide ribosomal RNA is filed under the name Lachnospiraceae bacterium. RNAcentral's name for it is "partial 23S ribosomal RNA". It matches the Rfam family "Bacterial large subunit ribosomal RNA", at positions 2731 to 2925 of the family's 2925-position model. Lineage: Bacteria; Bacillati; Bacillota; Clostridia; Lachnospirales; Lachnospiraceae. The record is from RNAcentral.